AGGGCUGCAGUAGGCAAAGGAACGAUGUAUCAUUUUGAAUGGAAAGGGAAAUAUCACAUGUUCUUUCUGCUUCUGCAGUUGUGGCAGACAGGGCCCCCCUGUGUAGCAGAGUGGAACUUUGUCAUUUGAGCCUCAACUGUUUGGACAUCUUUCUGAUAGGAACAAGACCUGUGUUUAAUUUCACCUCGUGUCCCUUGUGAGGAAAUGGGCAAAAUGGGCACACGAAGUAAACAGACCACUCAAACGGUGCUUCAGAGACUAGGUUUGGGCCUGUUUUGUUUUAUCUUUUAAUUUUUUAAAAAAAAUUUAUAUUUUAAGGACCAUUCUGAGGUAUGAGGCUAGGAUGAAAACAGUUCUCAUUGGUUCCAAAGCCUUUGCUCUUUCCCCUAUAGGAUGAAAUUUCUCUGUAUGAGUUUCUUUGUGCUGUUGCUGUGAGAAGAUGCUCCAGCCAGAAGCCAGGAAGGGUUUCUUGGUACUCACAGUUUAAAGGGAAGAUGUGGUGGCCAGUGCGUGAGGCAGCGGGUUCCAUGGUGUCUGCAGCCAGGAAGCAGAGAGAGAUGCUUGCUUUCUCGCUUUUCUCCUGGGGCCCAGCCCCACAGGAACGGCGAUACCCACAUUGCAUCUUUUCAACUUAACCGAGUCAAGUAAUCCUUCACUCGCAUGCCUGGACACUUUUAUUUCCUUUUGAUUUUAGGUCCCUUCAUAACCCCUCUUUGGUAAAUUUCCAUUGGCUACAUUUACCAUAUACCAUAUGUGCUAUGUGAUCUUACUAAUUGAGAAAAAUUAAAGAGGUGAACAAACAAUGAAUGGCCAUUUAUUUUCAAAGCCUCUUGUUGAUGGCUGAGCCCCUGCCUUAAAACAAACUUUUAUUGUAAAGUAAAUGAAGGCACAUUUUGCAUUCAGCUUGCUAGUGCUUUCUAAUCAUGAAGGGUUUUUGUUUUUGUUUUCUGUAGAUGUUUUCAUCCAGAACUCAAGAACAAAAUCUCCAUGUUAUGUUUGUUUUCGGAAUAUAUCUAUGUCAGAUAUCAUUACUUAACAGUUAGCAAAUCUGUAUUCCCCUUUCACCGGCAAGACCCGUAUUUUAUGUAGCUUAAAGAAAAGGAAGGGUGAUUUGUCCUUGCAUAGGAAAUCCGCUGUGCCUGCUUGAAACUUACACAGGAGAGAAAGGCAGUGCCCUCUCAAGUCUUUGCUACCCUUCCCACUGCUGUGCUGAAAUUCCCAGUGGAAAGCAGGCUAAGGGAAGAAGGUUUUAUUCUGGCUUAGGGUUUGAUGGGGAAAGCCCAUCAUGUUGAGCAAGGCCAUGAGGAUGCUUACUCUUGUCUGGGCUCACCAGACUUUCUCCCUCUUUAACUUGGAGUGGACCUCCAGCCUAGGAGGCAGGACCCUUACAACUUUUUGCAGCAUUCUUAUAGACACAUCAGAGGUAUGACUCCUACUGAGUUUCAAUCCAGUCAAGUUGACCAGAUGAGAGACCCUACCAUAGGUCUGUCUCUUGUCAGCUGGGCAUCCAAACACAUCCCUAGCAAACCAUCAGUCCAUGUUCUGCCCUGGUAAAGUAAAAGUGCCUUUACAAAGAGAAAGUUGGUGUAGAUUCAAUACAUUAUCUGACUUCUUUAAUGUUUUAUUUUUGACAAAAGCCGCCUCACAGCCCCACCCCAGUCUUGAAUUUCAUGGAAAAACAAACCGAGUCCAGCUGUUCUUUGUGUUUCCAGAAAGGCUUUGCUUCUUGUCUUACCCAGGGAGUAGAAUCCCACUGGGUAUCUGCUGCCCACUCCUAAUAUCAAGUAUGUAGAAGAAACACACCUGAUCCAGGGAUGGUGUCAGGCCCAUGUGACUUUACCUUGUGUCUGAAGUAAGCACUGUGAGGGGUAGGACACUGCUGCCCAGAUCAAUACCUUCUAUUUUAUUCAUUCCAUGGAAGGAAUCAUUUCACACCCUUUGAAUCAUGGCCCUGAGCUCCACUACCAACCACUGCACUAAAUAGUACCAGAUGUUGCUACUGGAAAGAGAGAAGAAGAAAAAAAAAAUCAGAUGGGAGGAGGGGCCAGGAGGUGUGGGGGCGAGGGGGGUGGCAGGAGGGAGGCAGCAGGAGGAGCGCAGUCGUAACCUGGGGAUCAGGUGACAGCUGCAGACUCCACCCUCAGGCAAGGGUUCAGUUCCAGACUGCUUUCACUGGUUCCCUCUUGAAACCGAGAGCAGACUUCAUGGAGGACAGUGACUGAAGAAAAACGGACCAUUUUCUUGGGUUUUGUACUUCCAUGCUUAUAAAGAAAUCACUUUUUUUUUAAUGCUAAGAUUUUGAAAAGAGUGAGUCAUACGAUUCUCUCAAUGUGAUAUUUUAAUGCACCAUUCCAGUCGUUGACUUCAGG
Molecule: long non-coding RNA, 2369 nt
Filed under: Mus musculus (house mouse)
Lineage: Eukaryota; Metazoa; Chordata; Mammalia; Rodentia; Muridae
Description: long non-coding RNA chr1:184044413-184046782
Source: RNAcentral